GAUGAAAAUUAAGCAAAAUAUAAGAAAAAUAUGAGCAAAACAUAAGUUAAAUAUGAUAAAAUUAUUUGUAAAGUGUUAUGUAUGUCCAUGUUAUUGAGAUAAUUCAAAUUAUCAUUGAAAGCAUUGAUGACCAGAUAAUCUUGUUUGGUUUAUACUAUUUAAUAUUAUUAUUUUAAAAAUGUAAUAUCAUUAAGUUCAAGAAUGUUGUAUGACUUGUAUCUUUAAUCUUCGGAACCUCAUGACCACAUUAUGUUCUUGAUGCUCUCAAUGGUCUACUUUCAACUUCUUGAGAAGUGCAAUAUUCAGCCAAUUUCGCAAUCUUCUUAAUGCUUUUAAUGGUUUCUUCGUCUGUUGCUAUGGUGCCAUCAACCAAGUUCAAGAAUGUUGAAUCUUUAAUCUUCGGACAUAACCACAUGACCAGAUUUUGUUCCUCAACACUCAAAGUCUCAUCAUUCACUUUCUUCAUGUGAUCAACUCCAUUAGAAUCACCCCGAAAGCAUAUACAUCUGCUUUUUUUGACACUCUUAAAACCUACAAAUAUAUUUUGAAAAUAUAUAUUUUUAAUUUUAUUUUAAAAAUGAUUAAAUUAACACAAAUACUUAUACAUAUAAUAAGCUAAAGAUUAAGUUCUAACUUACCAACAUAAUAUGGAUCAAUAUAUAGUUGAAGGUUCCCACCAUUGUUAAUGUCUCAACUGAGUCGACUCCCUCGAGUACGAGCUUUAUACAACCAAAAUCAGAAAUCUUCGCUCUCAUGCCAUAUCCUAUAUAAGUACGUUGGAAGGCUUCAAAUCUCUAUGGAUAUAGUUUUCUUGCAAGACCAUGAAGAUAUUGAAUCUCGAUGUGAAAUAUGUUUGGCUAGAUAUUAGGGAUUCCACUUCUCCUCGAUCGGACUCUCCGGAGACAAGUUGCUCAAGCUGUUAUCUAAUCGAUACCACAACAAUACUAUAACAUAAACUCAAGCCUUACUCCAGGCCCUGGAUAGACAGAUCUGUGAUGCAGUUCUCGCUAAGAAGAAACCUAAGAUCGAGGUUCAAAAACUUUAUGAAGAUUUGGCUCAAUUAGCAUGUCGGAGAAAACCCAUCUUGUGUUUUCUUUCAUGAACCUAUAGAAAAUCUAGAACAUUUGUACUAACCUCAGAGGCGGUUUGGUCAGGACUGAGUAGUAAGCUUCUUUAUGAAGAUCUUGGAACCAAAUGGCUGAAACUAUAUGAAGAUCUGGGAAAAGGAGAGGAAGUUCCUCUACUGAAAGUGGUUGUGAUAGGGAAUACCACCGAAAUCAAGAAGAAGCGUAAGAUCUUUUAGUCUAAUUCUUUUGGGCAAGUAUAACGAUCUUUUAGUCUAAUCUUUUGUAAUUGACUCUCACCAACAGAGAAAAGCUCAACAAAUUUACUUUGAGGCAGGUCUAGCAUAUGCAGACGUACCAAUCGUUUUUCUAAAAAUAGGUUAGUUUCUUUCCCUGUUUGGCAUGUUCAAAAGAAAUAUAUUAUAUAUUAUUCGAACUAUAAACGGAAAUAACGGUCAAGUAGCAUUGAGUAAAGUGGGGUACAGUCUUCUGAAUUGUGAUGGUAUAUUAUUCUCUGGCAAAGCAUUUCAAAAAUGAAGUAUACGAAAAUUUAUUUAUCCUUUAGUUAGAGAUCAAUUAUUUUACUGUGUUUUGUGUCUGAAAAUGGUCUACUUUAUUUUCUUGUGCUUAAAUUUUACUUCAGGUCUGCUAUUUUUUUUACCCGGUUCUAUCCAUAUCCGAUCCAAAUUAUUACAUCUUUUUGGGUAACUAU
RNAcentral lists this small RNA (1776 nucleotides) under Arabidopsis thaliana (thale cress). RNAcentral describes it as "ATSL146380". Lineage: Eukaryota; Viridiplantae; Streptophyta; Magnoliopsida; Brassicales; Brassicaceae. The record is from RNAcentral.